AUUGAACGCUGGCGGCGUGCCUAACACAUGCAAGUCGAGCGGUAACAGGUGUAGCAAUACAUGCUGACGAGCGGCGGACGGGUGAGUAACGCUUGGGAAUCUGCCUGUUAGUGGGGGACAACCCGGGGAAACUCGGGCUAAUACCGCAUACGCACUACGGUGGAAAGCCGGGGACCGCAAGGCCUGGCGCUAACAGAUGAGCCCAAGUCGGAUUAGCUAGUUGGUCGGGAACGGCCUACCAAGGCGACGAUCCGUAACUGGUCUGAGAGGACGACCAGUCACACCGGAACUGAGACACGGUCCGGACUCCUACGGGAGGCAGCAGUGGGGAAUAUUGGACAAUGGGCGAAAGCCUGAUCCAGCGACGCCGCGUGGGUGAAGAAGGCCUGCGGGUUGUAAAGCCCUUUCGGUGGGGAAGAAAAGCCUCGAGUUAAUACCUCGGGUCUUGACGUAACCCAUAGAAGAAGCACGGCUAACUCUGUGCCAGCAGCCGCCGUAAU
Molecule: ribosomal RNA, 500 nt
Filed under: uncultured bacterium
Lineage: Bacteria
Description: bacterial SSU rRNA
Rfam family: Bacterial small subunit ribosomal RNA
Source: RNAcentral